RNAcentral lists this ribosomal RNA (489 nucleotides) under uncultured bacterium. RNAcentral describes it as "bacterial SSU rRNA". It matches the Rfam family "Bacterial small subunit ribosomal RNA", at positions 30 to 507 of the family's 1533-position model. The record is from RNAcentral.
CGAACGCUGGUGGCAUGCCUAAUACAUGCAAGUCGAACGAGAAAGCACUUCGGUGUGAGUACAGUGGCGCACGGGUGAGUAACGCGUAGGUGAUAUGCCUAUUAGUGGGGGACAACAGUUGGAAACGACUGCUAAUACCGCAUAAGCUUGGUGACAUUGAAAAAACCAAGGAAAGGGGGCUUCGGCUCUCGCUAGUAGAUUGGCCUGCGUAGCAUUAGCUUGUUGGUGGGGUAAUGGCCUACCAAGGCGACGAUGCUUAACUGGUCUGAGAGGAUGAUCAGUCACACUGGAACUGAGACACGGUCCAGACUCCUACGGGAGGCAGCAGUAGGGAAUAUUGCGCAAUGGGGGAAACCCUGACGCAGCAAUGCCACGUGAGUGAGGAAUGCCUUCGGGUUGUAAAGCUCUGUCCUAUAGGAAGAACUGCAUUAUGGUUAAUACCCAUAGUGUUUGACGGUACUAUAGAAGAAAGCACCGGCUAACUCCGUG